AUGCUAGUGCGGCAACCAAUGUGGAUUGUGGUUUUCCAGAUCGGUCAACCAAUGAAUGAUAAUGCAUGUCUGGCCGAGAAAUGGCUAUUUCUAAAGAACCCAUGCACGGUUAAGAGCAGUAGAGCUUUCACGCAGCCUACAUACAUGCAUAUGCAUGUCUUGCUCGUGCUUAUCCAUAUGCGUUGCACGGUUAAGCUCGUGUUUGUGGUGGACCAACCAAGAUGCCUGCUUCCACUGAAGAAAAUUAUUGGAAGAAUCAAUAAAAUUCUUGCACCGAGUCCAGACACGUGUAAUAUUCUAUCCAUAAAUAUCUUCUGGGCAUCCUAG
Molecule: ribosomal RNA, 327 nt
Filed under: Triticum aestivum (bread wheat)
Lineage: Eukaryota; Viridiplantae; Streptophyta; Magnoliopsida; Poales; Poaceae
Description: partial small subunit ribosomal RNA
Source: RNAcentral